RNAcentral lists this ribosomal RNA (253 nucleotides) under uncultured bacterium. Its description in RNAcentral is "partial 16S ribosomal RNA". It matches the Rfam family "Bacterial small subunit ribosomal RNA", at positions 524 to 776 of the family's 1533-position model. The record is from RNAcentral.
UACGGAGGGUGCAAGCGUUAUCCGGAUUCACUGGGUUUAAAGGGUGCGUAGGAGGGCAGGGAAGUCAGUGGUGAAAUCUCCGAGCUUAACUCGGAAACUGCCGUUGAUACUCUCUGUCUUGAAUACCGUGGAGGUGAGCGGAAUAUGUCAUGUAGCGGUGAAAUGCUUAGAUAUGACAUAGAACACCAAUUGCGAAGGCAGCUCGCUACACGAAUAUUGACUCUGAGGCACGAAAGCGUGGGGAUCAAACAGG